Molecule: non-coding RNA, 680 nt
Organism: Arachis ipaensis
Lineage: Eukaryota; Viridiplantae; Streptophyta; Magnoliopsida; Fabales; Fabaceae
Source: RefSeq, a predicted model, not a curated record
AGGACAGACCAAAAACGCAGCCUCUCCUACCGACGGUGAUAACGCAUCUUCUCCCUGGCUCGUGUCUUGUCACCGGAAGUCCGCACCGGUGAACUCCCAGCAGCGCAUUCUGGUCGUCCGGCGCAUUUUGACGGCACCGCAUCAAGUCCACCUGCGAGAAACCCCAGUGCAACCUAGCAGCGGCUGAGCUCUGUGCCGCUGCAACACCGCCUCUGCUACUCCUCUCUUUUCAUUCUUCCCCUUUCACCAACGCAGGCAUUCCGUCGCAGCCGGCUUGCGUCUUCCUUGCGACAUCGGCAUUCGCAAGUUAGAGGGAUUACAAGUGGAGUCAGGCUUGAGACGUCCAUCACGCCACGGAAGAGCAUAAAUGGAGUUGAAUUUCAUUCAACCGGUAUGUGGUGUUCUAUUGGCCGUCAGUAACGAAAAUUCAUCAAAUUCACAUAACAAUGAUCCCAACCAUUGCGUAAAAGAGGGUGAGGAAUCCAACAAGCAGGUGGUUCCUCUGGAGGCCUCUCAAAAUAUGGAAUUUGGUGCUCCGGUUUGCCGGCAUGAGCGCCAACAAGCUGGUAGCUGCAUGUCUUUGUUAAGCUCAUUCGGCAGCAGUUAGAAUCUGUUGGAAAUGGUUUCGAGUACCUUUAAUAUUUUUCUUCAUGGAUAUAGGAUUUCAAUAGUUAUUCAUU